GUAGCAAUAGGGUUUUUGUUUCCCUUUUUUUUUUAAGAAAAAAAAUGGGGGGCCUAGAAAAAAAGCUUACAAGUCUUGUUUCAGGAAAGCAGCUGGAACAUUAAUGGCAAUUCCACUUUCCCAUUCAUCGCCCCCGCCCCCACCACCCCACCAAGAAACUCAGUGGGAAUGAAUGGUCUACACAGAGAAACUGAAAUCUGGUUAGUCAAGAAGGAAAAAACAACCAAGUGCCUGGCAUUAAGAGGAUUUUUUUUUUAAGCUCAGCCUAUGGACAACAAAAGCAUGGACUGUAUUUCUCAGCAUCUUUUGCACUUGAACAAGAUUAUUUUUUCCUUGAAAAUUGACAUGGAUGGUCUGCCACUGUGGGCUUUAUCUUCAACAUCGUCUCACCCUUCUUAUUAAUAACACAAGUUAUCCACUUGUAAACUGCUGUUUUUUUGGGGCUAUCCACUUGUAAACUGCUGUUUUUUUGGGGGCACUGUCACCAUAAACUUUUGAUAAGGCAUCAGUGAUUUCAACAUUCUUCACCCAAGCUUCACCAUAAAUUUGAUGUUUCUUUUUGCUUCAUUUUAGCAGAAUUUGUUCCAAUAGGGGCUCUUUUCGAACUGAUUUUUUUUUUCAUUUUUUUCCACUGGGAUUUUGAGAAAAUCAAACUGAUAGCCUUCUUAGUGCCUCAAACUAGAUCCUGUUCAGACACAAACAAGUUAGUAUGAGUUUGUUUCAGUGAAAAAAAAAUUUGAAAUUCAUGCAUAGUUUUUCAUAAUGUGAAUUUUUCAUGAACUUUUGGAAGACCUUUUGAAUACUUUUUUAAUUGCAGCACUCUUUUGCACCAUAAAACUAAUUGGUGGCUUUACCAUUAAGAAGUUGAGCCAAGCAAACAAUAAUGAAAAUGCUUUAUGUGGAAUAAAAAUUUACACUUAAAUGCCU
RNAcentral lists this long non-coding RNA (927 nucleotides) under Homo sapiens (human). RNAcentral describes it as "non-protein coding lnc-DTL-2:8". The record is from RNAcentral. Lineage: Eukaryota; Metazoa; Chordata; Mammalia; Primates; Hominidae.